RNAcentral lists this ribosomal RNA (468 nucleotides) under uncultured bacterium. Its description in RNAcentral is "partial 16S ribosomal RNA". It matches the Rfam family "Bacterial small subunit ribosomal RNA", at positions 28 to 507 of the family's 1533-position model. The record is from RNAcentral.
GACGAACGCUGGCGGCGUGCUUAACACAUGCAAGUCGAACGGAAAGGCCCUGCUUUUGUGGGGUGCUCGAGUGGCGAACGGGUGAGUAACACGUGAGUAACCUGCCCUUGACUUUGGGAUAACUUCAGGAAACUGGGGCUAAUACCGGAUAGGAGCUCCUGCUGCAUGUUGGGGGUUGGAAAGUUUCGGCGGUUGGGGAUGGACUCGCGGCUUAUCAGCUUGUUGGUGGGGUAGUGGCUUACCAAGGCUUUGACGGGUAGCCGGCCUGAGAGGGUGACCGGCCACAUUGGGACUGAGAUACGGCCCAGACUCCUACGGGAGGCAGCAGUGGGGAAUAUUGCACAGUGGGCGGAAGCCUGAUGCAGAAACGCCGCGUGCGGGAUGACGGCCUUCGGGUUGUAAACCGCUUUCGCCUGUGACGAAGCGUGAGUGACGGUAAUGGGUAAAGAAGCACCGGCUAACUACGUG